Molecule: small nuclear RNA, 87 nt
Organism: Homo sapiens (human)
Lineage: Eukaryota; Metazoa; Chordata; Mammalia; Primates; Hominidae
Gene: U4
Rfam family: U4 spliceosomal RNA
About the family: U4 small nuclear RNA (U4 snRNA) is a component of the major U2-dependent spliceosome. The structure of U4 snRNA from yeast and human has been reported.
Source: Ensembl
AGCUUUGUGUACUGGCAAUAUCAUAACCAAUGAGGUUCAUCCAAGACAUGAUAAUUGCUAAUGGCAAACAGCAUAAAACCAACUGCC